CAGAAUCAAGUGAAGCCCAGCAACAAUACAAAGCCUGCUACUGCACUGAGACAAGAAGACAAAAGAGCAUUAGACUUGCUCAUGCAAAAGAGCUGUUCUCAGUGUACGAGAAAGGAGAGUAUCCAGCUAGCUAACCGUUACGCUAUCUUAUCUACAGCAGGCUAAUGAAGCCACAGCUGGCGUCAGUCUAGAUCCUUCUUGUAGAGUGUAUAAAUAUCAAGUCUUGUAAUGA
Molecule: long non-coding RNA, 232 nt
Filed under: Brassica napus (rape)
Lineage: Eukaryota; Viridiplantae; Streptophyta; Magnoliopsida; Brassicales; Brassicaceae
Description: long non-coding RNA (BNAP_LNC006685)
Source: RNAcentral